This 811-nucleotide ribosomal RNA is filed under the name uncultured bacterium. RNAcentral's name for it is "bacterial SSU rRNA". It matches the Rfam family "Bacterial small subunit ribosomal RNA", at positions 8 to 796 of the family's 1533-position model. The record is from RNAcentral.
AGAGUUUGAUCAUGGCUCAGAACGAACGCUGGCGGCGUGGAUAAGACAUGCAAGUCGAACGGGAACUUUACUGGUAGCAAUACCGGUGAAGUUCUAGUGGCGAACGGGUGCGUAACACGUGGGCAAUCUGCCUUAAAGUGGGGGAUAGCUCGGCGAAAGCCGAAUUAAUACCGCAUGUGAUCAGGGGAGACAUCUUCCCCGAAAUCAAAAGUGGCGCAAGCUACUGCUUUUUGAGGAGCCCGCGGCCUAUCAGCUAGUUGGUGAGGUAAUGGCUCACCAAGGCUUUGACGGGUAGCUGGUCUGAGAGGACGACCAGUCACACUGGAACUGAGACACGGUCCAGACACCUACGGGUGGCAGCAGUCGAGAAUUUUUCUCAAUGGGGGAAACCCUGAAGGAGCGACGCCGCGUGGAGGAUGAAGGUCUUCGGGUUGUAAACUCCUGUCAUUUGGGAACAAGUGCCGGUAAGUAACUGCUACCGGCUUGAUAGUACCAGAAGAGGAAGGGACGGCUAACUCUGUGCCAGCAGCCGCGGUAAUACAGAGGUCUCAAGCGUUGUUCGGAUUCAUUGGGCGUAAAGGGUGUGUAGGUGGCGCCGUAAGUCGGGUGUGAAAUUUCGGAGCUUAACUCCGAAACUGCAUUCGAUACUGCGGUGCUUGAGGACUGGAGAGGAGACUGGAAUUCAUGGUGUAGCAGUGAAAUGCGUAGAGAUCAUGAGGAAGACCAGUGGCGAAGGCGGGUCUCUGGACAGUUCCUGACACUGAGACACGAAGGCCAGGGGAGCAAACGGGAUUAGAUACCCCAGUAGUCC